GACGAACGCUGGCGGCGUGCUUAACACAUGCAAGUCGAACGGAAAGGCCCUGCUUGCAGGGUACUCGAGUGGCGAACGGGUGAGUAACACGUGGGUGAUCUGCCCUGCACUUCGGGAUAAGCCUGGGAAACUGGGUCUAUUACCGGAUAGGAGCCAUUUUUAGUGUGAUGGUUGGAAAGUUUUUUCGGUGUAGGAUGAGCUCGCGGCCUAUCAGCUUGUUGGUGGGGUAAUGGCCUACCAAGGCGGCGACGGGUAGCCGGCCUGAGAGGGUGGACGGCCACACUGGGUCUGAGAGACGGCCCAGACUGCUACGGGAGGCAGCAGUGGGGAAUAUUGCACCAUGGGCGCAAGCCUGAUGCAGCGACGCCGCGUGGGGGAUGACGGCCUUCGUGUUGUAAACUCCUUUCGCUAGGGACGAAGCUUUUUGUGACGGUACCUAGAGAAGAAGCACCGGCUAACUACGUG
This 465-nucleotide ribosomal RNA is filed under the name uncultured bacterium. Its description in RNAcentral is "partial 16S ribosomal RNA". It matches the Rfam family "Bacterial small subunit ribosomal RNA", at positions 28 to 507 of the family's 1533-position model. The record is from RNAcentral.